This 481-nucleotide ribosomal RNA is filed under the name uncultured bacterium. Its description in RNAcentral is "partial 16S ribosomal RNA". It matches the Rfam family "Bacterial small subunit ribosomal RNA", at positions 28 to 506 of the family's 1533-position model. The record is from RNAcentral.
GAUGAACGCUAGCGGCAGGCCUAAUACAUGCAAGUCGGACGGGAUUCAGGAGCUUGCUUCUGAUGAGAGUGGCGCACGGGUGCGUAACACGUAUGUAACCUACCUUUAUCAGGGGGAUAGCCUCUCGAAAGAGAGAUUAAGCCCGCAUAAAAUCACAGCACAGCAUUGUGUAAUGAUCAAAUAUUUAUAGGAUAAAGAUGGGCAUGCGGAACAUUAGCUAGAUGGCGGGGUAACGGCCCACCAUGGCGACGAUGUUUAGGGGAUCUGAGAGGAUGGCCCCCCACACUGGUACUGAGACACGGACCAGACUCCUACGGGAGGCAGCAGUAAGGAAUAUUGGUCAAUGGGCGGAAGCCUGAACCAGCCAUGCCGCGUGCAGGAAGACGGCCCUACGGGUUGUAAACUGCUUUUAUACGGGAAUAAACCCAGAUACGUGUAUCUGGCUGAAUGUACUGUAAGAAUAAGGAUCGGCUAACUCCGU